Molecule: long non-coding RNA, 467 nt
Organism: Dioscorea cayenensis subsp. rotundata (Guinea yam)
Lineage: Eukaryota; Viridiplantae; Streptophyta; Magnoliopsida; Dioscoreales; Dioscoreaceae
Exons: 3
Source: RefSeq, a predicted model, not a curated record
CUUCCCUCUUGCCUCAUGUGCAAGCGAGUGCGGACUGGAGAGAACGAGGGAAGACAACCAAACAGCCGGAUGGAUGAGAAGGAGAAGAUCCACUUGUUCUACUGCGCCGAGUCGGAGGAGCUCGCCCGCAAGGCCGCCCACCUUGCCAUCCAGUGAUCCAGCUCCAGUCCAUCUCCUGGAGAAAGUUUUGGCUGUGUGACAAAAGUUAGUGCCCGUGUAACUCAUGGUGUGUUUCCAAAGCAGACAUGGGAGACCUUCACACAAGUUGGUGCUAACGGCCGAGUCUUGAGUCCAUUUGCCUACAUCUGGAUAAGCAGCUCUUAUCCUCAGCCUUGCAGGGUGCUCUUCAGAUUUGGUGCUCUAAAUCCUAAUUUAGUGUUCCACUUUCAGAAUAAUGUUAUAUGGGCGUGUGGCCUUUGUGGAGGAUUAGUCCUGGCUUCGUAUUUAAGUAAUUAGUGUAUAAUCAU